This 1501-nucleotide ribosomal RNA is filed under the name uncultured bacterium. Its description in RNAcentral is "bacterial SSU rRNA". It matches the Rfam family "Bacterial small subunit ribosomal RNA". The record is from RNAcentral.
AGAGUUUGAUCCUGGCUCAGAUUGAACGCUGGCGGUAUGCUUAACACAUGCAAGUCGAACGGAAACGAAACUAGCUUGCUAGUAGGCGUCGAGUGGCGGACGGGUGAGUAACGCGUAGGAAUCUGCCUGAUAGUGGGGGAUAGCCCGAAGAAAUUCGGAUUAAUACCGCAUAAUCUAUUCGUAGUAAAGUGGGGGACUUUCGAGCCUCACGCUAUCAGAUGAGCCUGCGUAAGAUUAGCUUGUUGGUAGGGUAAAAGCCUACCAAGGCUACGAUCUUUAGCUGGUCUGAGAGGAUGAUCAGCCACAUCGGGACUGAGACACGGCCCGAACUCCUACGGGAGGCAGCAGUGGGGAAUAUUGGACAAUGGGGGCAACCCUGAUCCAGCAAUACCGCGUGUGUGAAGAAGGCCUGAGGGUUGUAAAGCACUUUCAAUUGUGAAGAAAAGUUAACGGUUAAUAACCGUUGACCUUGACGUUAACUUUAGAAGAAGCACCGGCUAACUCCGUGCCAGCAGCCGCGGUAAUACGGAGGGUGCAAGCGUUAAUCGGAAUUACUGGGCGUAAAGCGUGCGUAGGCGGUUUAUUAAGUCAGAUGUGAAAGCCCCGGGCUUAACCUGGGAACUGCAUUUGAAACUGGUCAACUAGAGUAUGGUAGAGGAAAGUGGAAUUUCUGGUGUAGCGGUGAAAUGCGUAGAUAUCAGAAGGAACAUCAAUGGCGAAGGCAGCUUUCUGGACCAAUACUGACGCUGAGGUACGAAAGCGUGGGUAGCAAACAGGAUUAGAUACCCUGGUAGUCCACGCCGUAAACGAUGAUAACUAGCCGUUGGGGGGAUUUACCCCUUAGUGGCGAAGCUAACGCGUUAAGUUAUCCGCCUGGGGAGUACGGCCGCAAGGCUAAAACUCAAAGGAAUUGACGGGGACCCGCACAAGCGGUGGAGCAUGUGGUUUAAUUCGAUGCAACGCGAAGAACCUUACCUGGUCUUGACAUCCUGCGAACUUUCUAGAAAUAGAUUGGUGCCUUCGGGAACGCAGUGACAGGUGCUGCAUGGCUGUCGUCAGCUCGUGUCGUGAGAUGUUGGGUUAAGUCCCGUAACGAGCGCAACCCCUAUCCUUAUUUGCCAGCACAUUAUGGUGGGAACUAUAAGGAGACUGCCGGUGAUAAACCGGAGGAAGGCGGGGACGACGUCAAGUCAUCAUGGCCCUUACGACCAGGGCUACACACGUGCUACAAUGGGAAGGACAAAGAGCCGCGAAGCCGCGAGGUGUAGCUAAUCUCAUAAAUCUUUUCGUAGUCCGGAUUGGAGUCUGCAACUCGACUCCAUGAAGUCGGAAUCGCUAGUAAUCGUAGAUCAGAAUGCUACGGUGAAUACGUUCCCGGGUCUUGUACACACCGCCCGUCAUACCAUGGGAGUGGGUUGCACCAGAAGUGACUAGUCUAACUUUGUGAGGACGGUCACCACGGUGUGAUUCAUGACUGGGGUAAAGUCGUAACAAGGUAACC